UGGAAAGUGUGUCUGAUGGAUGUGAAGGUU
RNAcentral lists this non-coding RNA (30 nucleotides) under Mus musculus (house mouse). The record is from RNAcentral. Lineage: Eukaryota; Metazoa; Chordata; Mammalia; Rodentia; Muridae.